AACGAACGCUGGCGGCAUGCCUAACACAUGCAAGUCGAACGGGACCUUCGGGUCUAGUGGCGCACGGGUGCGUAACGCGUGGGAACCUGCCCUUAGGUUCGGAACAACUCCCCGAAGGGUGUGCUAAUACCGGUUGAUGUCUUCGGACCAAAGAUUUAUCGCCUUUGGAUGGGCCCGCGUUGGAUUAGCUAGUUGGUAGGGUAAAAGCCUACCAAGGCGACGAUCCAUAGCUGGUCUGAGAGGAUGAUCAGCCGCACUGGGACUGAGACACGGCCCAGACUCCUACGGAAGGCAGCAGUGGGGAAUAUUGGACAAUGGGCGAAAGCCUGAUCCCGCAACGCCGCGUGAGUGAUGAAGGCCUUAGGGUUGUAAAGCUCUUUUACCCGGGAUGAUAAUGACAGUACCGGGAGAAUAAGCUCCGGCUAACUCCGUG
This 433-nucleotide ribosomal RNA is filed under the name uncultured bacterium. RNAcentral's name for it is "partial 16S ribosomal RNA". It matches the Rfam family "Bacterial small subunit ribosomal RNA", at positions 29 to 507 of the family's 1533-position model. The record is from RNAcentral.